Molecule: ribosomal RNA, 236 nt
Filed under: Klebsiella pneumoniae
Lineage: Bacteria; Pseudomonadati; Pseudomonadota; Gammaproteobacteria; Enterobacterales; Enterobacteriaceae
Description: partial 16S ribosomal RNA
Rfam family: Bacterial small subunit ribosomal RNA
Source: RNAcentral
ACUUAAAUUGAAGAGUUUGAUCAUGGCUCAGAUUGAACGCUGGCGGCAGGCCUAACACAUGCAAGUCGAGCGGUAGCACAGAGAGCUUGCUCUCGGGUGACGAGCGGCGGACGGGUGAGUAAUGUCUGGGAAACUGCCUGAUGGAGGGGGAUAACUACUGGAAACGGUAGCUAAUACCGCAUAACGUCGCAAGACCAAAGUGGGGGACCUUCGGGCCUCAUGCCAUCAGAUGUGCC